UACAGAGGUCCCGAGCGUUGUUCGGAUUCACUGGGCGUAAAGGGUGCGUAGGUGGUUUUGAAAGUCUGAUGUGAAAGCUCGGAGCUCAACUCCGAAACGGCAUUGGAAACUUCAAAGCUAGAGAGUUGGAGGGGGGACUGGAAUUCUCGGUGUAGCAGUGAAAUGCGUAGAUAUCGAGAGGAACACCAGUGGCGAAGGCGAGUCCCUGGACAACUUCUGACACUGAGGCACGAAAGCUAGGGGAGCAAACAGG
Molecule: ribosomal RNA, 253 nt
Filed under: uncultured bacterium
Lineage: Bacteria
Description: partial 16S ribosomal RNA
Rfam family: Bacterial small subunit ribosomal RNA
Source: RNAcentral